This 497-nucleotide ribosomal RNA is filed under the name uncultured bacterium. Its description in RNAcentral is "partial 16S ribosomal RNA". It matches the Rfam family "Bacterial small subunit ribosomal RNA", at positions 28 to 507 of the family's 1533-position model. The record is from RNAcentral.
GAUGAACGCUGGCGGCGUGCCUAAUACAUGCAAGUCGAGCGAACGGACGAGAAGCUUGCUUCUCUGAUGUUAGCGGCGGACGGGUGAGUAACACGUGGAUAACCUACCUAUAAGACUGGGAUAACUUCGGGAAACCGGAGCUAAUACCGGAUAAUAUUUUGAACCGCAUGGUUCAAAAGUAAAAGACGGUCUUGCUGUCACUUAUAGAUGGAUCCGCGCUGCAUUAGCUAGUUGGUAAGGUAACGGCUUACCAAGGCAACGAUGCAUAGCCGACCUGAGAGGGUGAUCGGCCACACUGGAACUGAGACACGGUCCAGACUCCUACGGGAGGCAGCAGUAGGGAAUCUUCCGCAAUGGGCGAAAGCCUGACGGAGCAACGCCGCGUGAGUGAUGAGGGUCUUCGGAUCGUAAAACUCUGUUAUUAGGGAAGAACAUAUGUGUAAGUAACUGUGCACAUCUUGACGGUACCUAAUCAGAAAGCCACGGCUAACUACGUG